CUACGGGACGCUGCAGUGAGGAAUAUUGCACAAUGGGGGGAACCCUGAUGCAGCAACGCCGCGUGGAGGAUGACGCAUUUCGGUGUGUAAACUCCUUUUAUAUGUCAAGAAAAUGACGGUAGCAUAUGAAUAAGCACCGGCUAACUCCGUGCCAGCAGCCGCGGUAAUAGGAGGGUGCAAGCGUUACUCGGAAUCACUGGGCGUAAAGGACGCGUAGGCGGGUUGGAAAGUCAGGUGUGAAAUCCUACAGCUUAACUGUAGAACUGCACUUGAAACUUCUAAUCUAGAGGAUGGGAGGGGGAGAUGGAAUUAGUGGUGUAGGGGUAAAAUCCGUAGAUAUCACUAGGAAUACCUAAAGCGAAGGCGAUCUCCUGGAACAUUACUGACGCUAAGGCGUGAAAGCGUGGGGAGCAAACAGGAUUAGAUACCCGGGUAGUC
This 438-nucleotide ribosomal RNA is filed under the name uncultured bacterium. RNAcentral's name for it is "partial 16S ribosomal RNA". It matches the Rfam family "Bacterial small subunit ribosomal RNA", at positions 339 to 795 of the family's 1533-position model. The record is from RNAcentral.